GAUGAACGCUAGCUACAGGCCUAACACAUGCAAGUCGAGGGGAAACGACAUCGAAAGCUUGCUUUUGAUGGGCGUCGACCGGCGCACGGGUGAGUAACGCGUAUCCAACCUGCCCAUCACUUGGGAAUAACCUUGCGAAAGUAAGACUAAUACCCAAUGACAUCCCACGAAGACAUCUGAAUGGGAUUAAAGAUUUAUCGGUGAUGGAUGGGGAUGCGUCUGAUUAGCUUGUUGGCGGGGUAACGGCCCACCAAGGCAACGAUCAGUAGGGGUUCUGAGAGGAAGGUCCCCCACAUUGGAACUGAGACACGGUCCAAACUCCUACGGGAGGCAGCAGUGAGGAAUAUUGGUCAAUGGGCGAGAGCCUGAACCAGCCAAGUAGCGUGCAGGAUGACGGCCCUAUGGGUUGUAAACUGCUUUUAUAAGGGAAUAAAGUGGGUCUCGUGAGACUUUUUGCAUGUACCUUAUGAAUAAGGACCGGCUAAUUCCGUG
Molecule: ribosomal RNA, 492 nt
Filed under: uncultured bacterium
Lineage: Bacteria
Description: partial 16S ribosomal RNA
Rfam family: Bacterial small subunit ribosomal RNA
Source: RNAcentral